GACGAACGCUGGCGGCGUGCCUAAUACAUGCAAGUCGAACGAAGCUGUUUUAACUGGUGCUUGCACCAACUUAAACAACUGAGUGGCGAACGGGUGAGUAACACGUGGGUAACCUGCCCAGAAGCGGGGGAUAACAUUUGGAAACAGAUGCUAAUACCGCAUAAAAGUCAAAACCACAUGGUUUUGAUUUAAAAGAUGGCCUUUGUGCUAUCACUUCUGGAUGGACCCGCGGCGUAUUAGCUAGUUGGUAAGGUAAUGGCUUACCAAGGCAAUGAUACGUAGCCGAACUGAGAGGUUGAUCGGCCACAAUGGGACUGAGACACGGCCCAUACUCCUACGGGAGGCAGCAGUAGGGAAUCUUCCACAAUGGGCGCAAGCCUGAUGGAGCAACACCGCGUGAGUGAAGAAGGGUUUCGGCUCGUAAAACUCUGUUGUUAAAGAAGAACGUAUCUAAGAGUAACUGCUUAGGUAGUGACGGUAUUUAACCAGAAAGCCACGGCUAACUACGUGCCAGCCGCCGCCGUAA
Molecule: ribosomal RNA, 526 nt
Filed under: uncultured bacterium
Lineage: Bacteria
Description: partial 16S ribosomal RNA
Rfam family: Bacterial small subunit ribosomal RNA
Source: RNAcentral